CGACCUCUGAUCAGACUUGGUGACCCAUUGAACAUAAACAUAUUACCAAGUGGAGGAAAAUAAACUAACCAGGAUUCCAUCAGUAAAAGCAAAUGAACAGGGAAAAACCAGUGCUGAAUCCCCUUCCAGGAGACAGGUGCUGGGAAAAUGUGUUGUACGGAAGUUCAUCUCCCAGGGGGCCCAAGUCCUUGUGAUCAAGACUCAGCCCUUGGAUGGUGUGAGACUGGUGGUGGCCCUUGGUGCUUUGGGAUCAGGUCUUCCUGGAGUUAGGUUGUUUGUGAAGGCAACCCAAAGCAGGUGGUAAACUCCAGCUAAGGCUAAACACCAGCAUGAGACUGAUAGUGAACAGGUACUGUAAGGGAAAGUUGAAAAGAACUUUGAAGAGUGAGUUCAAGAGGCCAUGAAACUGUUCAGAGGUAAAUGGGCGGGGUCCGCAUGGUCCACCCGGAGGAUUCAACUCGGUGGCCAUGUGUGGCCUCCCGUGUAAGGCAGAUUCCCUUUUCCCUCCAAGGUUGGAGGACCAUCCCCGGGCAUGCUGCCUGCCAUCAGGUGCAUUUCCUCUGCGGCAAUGUACCGCAACUGGCUUUGGGUCAGCCGGGAAGGCCACACUGUAGGUGCCUUCCCUCUCCAGAGGGAGUGUUACAGCUCAUGACAUCAGCUCUCACCGUACCCUGGAGUCAUGGAAAAUGGCUGGGGCACCCAACCCUGCUCUCGUGGUGGGGCCAGGGUCCCCCCAUUCCCAGAUGGACUGUUGACUGGACUGGACUGUCCUCUGUGCUGACCAACCUCAUCCUGCCACCUGGCCCGGGGUUCACUACAACAUCGUUGGCCCACCCAUCCCAUCUUGAAACAUGGACCAAGGACUCUAACAGAUGCAUGAGUCGAAGGGUGGGCAGGAGAUGCCACAAUGCAAUGGAAGUGAGGGCCAGUGCAUGCUGGCUGUGGCAGGAUCCCCCCAUCCCACACAGGGGCGCACCGCCACCCCAUCUCAACCAUCCCAUCAGGAAGGUGGACCAUCAGCAUACCUGGUGGGACCCAAAAGAUGGUGAACUAUCCCUGGGCAGGGCAAAGCCAGAGGAAACUAUGGUGGAGGUCUGUAGAGGUUGUGAUGUGCAAAUUGGUCAUCUGAUCUGGGUAGAGGGGUGAAAGACUAAUCAUACCAUCUAGCAGAUGGUUCCCUCCAAAGUUUCCCUAAGGAUAGCUGGCCUAGGCGGAUGCAUUUUUAUCUUGUAAAGUGAAUGAUUAGAGGUCUUGGGGCUCAAACGAUGUCAACUUAUUUUCAAACUUCAAAUGGGUAAAAAGCCUGACUCACUCACUUGAAACUGACCAUGGAAUGCGAGUCCAGUGGGCCACUUUUGGUAAGCAGAGCUGUCACUACAGGAUGAGCUAAACACCGGGCUAAGGCACCCCAAUGUUGAGGCACAUCAGACCUCCAAAAAGUUGUUGGUUGAUACAGUCAGCAGGAUGGUGGCCAUAGAAGUCAGAAUCCACUAAGAAGUGUGUAAGAACUCACCUGCCCAAUCAACAAGCCAUGAAAAUGGAUGGGGCUGAAGUGUUAGACCCAUUCCUGGCCAUCACUGGCACUGGGAGCCAAGGGGUCUAUGCAGUGAUGAAUAGGAGGGCUGCCACGGUGGCAAUGAAGCACAGGGUGAGGGCCCAGGUGGAGCCGCCACAGGUGCAGAUCUUGGUGGUAGUAGCAAAUACUCAAAUGAGAGCUUUGAAAGCUGAAGUGGAGAAGAGUUUCAUGUGAACAGCAGUUGAACAUGGGUCAGUUGGUCCUGAAGGAUAGGAGAGCACUGUUCCAAAGGGAUGGGCGAUGGCCUCCAUUGCCCUUGGCUGAUCAAAAAGGAGUCGGCCUCAGAUCCCCGAAUCCGGAGCAGUGGAAAUGGACACCUUGUGGCGUCAAGUGUGGUGACACAAAUGAUCCCUGAGAAGCCACUGGGGGCCCCUGGGAGAGUUCUCUUUUCUUUGUAAAGGGCAGGGUGCCCUGGAAUGGGUUCACCAUGAGAGAGGGGCCUGUGCCCUGGAAAGCACUUUGUUUCUGAUGGCAUCAGGUGAGCUCUCGCCAGUCCUUGAAAAUCCAGGGGAGAGGGUGUAAGUCUCAUGCCGGGCCAUACCCAUAGCAGCAGAAGGUCUCCAAGGUGAACAGCCUCUGGCAUGUUAGAACAAUGUAGAUAAGAAAAGUCAGCAAGCCAGAUCCAUAUUUUUGGGAUAAGGAUUGGCUCUAAGGGCUGGGUCAGUCAGGCUUUGGCAUGAAGUGGGGCAUGGCGCAUUCCGUGGCUGGAUGAGGUGUCACCCCCUUGCCAUGCUCACCCUUCCUGGGAGGGCUAGGCAGAGUCAGUGGUGACUCUUAAUGAGGGCGUCCCUUCCUGUCUAUCAACCUGGCUGUGGCAGGCAACAGUCCUGACCGCCAUCUCACAUCAUCUGGCAGCUAGCAGUUGACUUAGCACUGGUGCAGACCAGGGGAAUCUGACUGUUUAAUUAAAACAAUGCAUCCCGAAGGCCUCAGAAGGGUUUUGAUGCAAUCUGAUUUCCCAGUGCUUUGAAUGUCAAAAUGAAGAAAUUCAGUGAAGCGCGGGUAAAUGGCCUGGAUGAACUAUGACUAUCUUAAGGUAGCAAAAUGCAUCAUUAUCUAAUUAGUGACAUGCAUGAAUGGGUAAACAAGAUUCUCACUGUCCCUAUUUACUAUCUAGUGAAACCACAGCCAAGGGAAUGGACUUGGCAGAAUCAGCAGAGAAGAAAGACCCUGUUGAGCUUCAGUCUAGUCUGGCACUGUGAAGAGACAUGAGAGGUGUAGAAUAAGUGGGAGGCCUUGGCCACUGGUGAAAUACCACUACUCUUAUAAUUUUUUCACUUACAUGGUGAGGCAGAGGGGCAAGCCCCACUCAGGCUCUUGCUUCUGGCUCCAAGCACCCAGGCAUCUGGGCAUGACCCGCUAUGGGGACAGUGUCACAUGGGAAGUUUUACUGGGGUGAGACACCUGUCAAAGAGUAAUGCAGGUGUCCUAAGGUGAGCUCAGGGAGGACAGAAACCUCCCAUGGAGCAGAAGGGCAAAAGCUCAGUUGAUCUUGAUUUUUGGUAUGAAUAUAGACCGUGAAAGUGGGGCCUCAUGAUCCCUCUGGCUUUAUGGGUUUUAAGCAGGAGGUGUUACAAAAAGUUACCACAGGGAUAACUAGCUUGUGGUGGCCAUGCAUUCAUAGCGAUGUCACUUUUUGAUCCUUUGAUGUUGGCUCUUCCUAUCAUUGUGAAGCAGAAUUCACUAAGCAUUGGAUUGUUCACCCACUAAUAGGGAAUGUGAGCUGGGAUUAGAAUAUCAUAAGAGAGGUUAGUUUUAGCCUACUGAUGAUGUGUCGUUGCAACAAUAUUCCUCAGUAUGAGAGAUACUGCAGGUUCAGACAUUUGGUGUAUGUACUUGGCUGAAGAGCCAAUGGUGCAAAACUACCAUCUGUGGGAUUAUGACUGAAUCCCUUUAAGUCAGAAUCCCACCCAAACAUAACAAUACGGUAGUGCCAUGGAUCUCCAUUUGGCCAGGGAUAGCCAGCUGGAAGGUCAUCGAGGAGUGCCGCUCGUCACAGGGUUGGAGCAUGGACAGAAAGGGGUUGCCUCUCUCCAGCAGUGCACUGCAUGCUCAUGGGAAACCGGUUGCUAAAUCAUUCAUAGAUGACCUGAUUCUGGGUCAGGGUUUCUUAUGUAGCAGAGCAGCAAAAAGCUGCGAUCUACUGAAAGUCAGCCCUCGAGCCUGAGUUAAGA
Protopterus annectens (West African lungfish) is the source of this 3750-nucleotide ribosomal RNA. Lineage: Eukaryota; Metazoa; Chordata; Ceratodontiformes; Protopteridae. The record is from RefSeq and is a predicted model, not a curated record.